GUGGGAACCGAGCGUUAUCCGAAUUUACUGGGGGGCGUAAAGCGCGUGUAGGGCGGGUUCGGGUAAGUUGGGAUGUGAAAGCUCCCGGCUCAACUGGGAGAGGACGUUCAAUACUGUCGGACUAGAGGGCGGCAGAGGGAGGUGGAAUUCCCGGUGUAGUGGUGAAAUGCGUAGAUAUCGGGAGGAACACCAGAGGCGAAGGCGGCCUCCUGGGCCGCACCUGACGCUCAGACGCGAAAGCUAGGGGAGCAAACGGGAUUAGAAACCCCGGUAGUCCUAGCCGUAAACGAUGUAGACUAGGUGUCGGUGGGGUAAAAGCCAUCGGUACCGCAGCUAACGCAGUAAGUCUACCGCCUGGGGACUACGGUCGCAAGGCUA
This 378-nucleotide ribosomal RNA is filed under the name uncultured organism. Its description in RNAcentral is "partial 16S ribosomal RNA". It matches the Rfam family "Bacterial small subunit ribosomal RNA", at positions 527 to 896 of the family's 1533-position model. The record is from RNAcentral.